RNAcentral lists this ribosomal RNA (253 nucleotides) under uncultured bacterium. Its description in RNAcentral is "partial 16S ribosomal RNA". It matches the Rfam family "Bacterial small subunit ribosomal RNA", at positions 524 to 776 of the family's 1533-position model. The record is from RNAcentral.
UACGGGGGGGGUAAGCGUUGUUCGGAAUUACUGGGCGUAAAGGGCUCGUAGGCGGCCAACUAAGUCGGACGUGAAAUCCCUCAGCUUAACUGGGGAACUGCGUCCGAUACUGGAUGGCUUGGAUUUGGGAGAGGGAUGCGGAAUUCCAGGUGUAGCGGUGAAAUGCGUAGAUAUUCGCAAGAACACCAGUGGCGAAGGCGGCUCACUGGCCCGGUACUGACGCUGAGGUGCGAAAGCGUGGGGAGCAAACAGG